CCUACGGGAGGCAGCAGUGAGGAAUAUUGGUCAAUGGGCGAGAGCCUGAACCAGCCAAGUCGCGUGAGGGAAGACGGUCCUAUGGAUUGUAAACCUCUUUUGCCGGGGAGCAAAAAGCGGUACGUGUACCGCAUCGAGAGUACCCGGAGAAAAAGCAUCGGCUAACUCCGUGCCAGCAGCCGCGGUAAUACGGAGGAUGCGAGCGUUAUCCGGAUUUAUGGGGUUUAAAGGGUGCGCAGGCGGCGAGUUAAGUCAGCGGUAAAAUUUCGGGGCUCAACCCCGACAAGCCGUUGAAACUGGCUUGCUUGAGUGGGCGAGAGGUAGGCGGAAUGCGUGGUGUAGCGGUGAAAUGCAUAGAUAGCACGAAGAACUCCGAUUGCGAAGGCAGCAUACCGGCGCCCAACUGACGCUCAGGCACGAAAGCGUGGGUAUCGAACAGGAUUAGAUACCCCAGUAGUC
This 459-nucleotide ribosomal RNA is filed under the name uncultured bacterium. Its description in RNAcentral is "partial 16S ribosomal RNA". It matches the Rfam family "Bacterial small subunit ribosomal RNA", at positions 338 to 795 of the family's 1533-position model. The record is from RNAcentral.